UUCAUUCAUUUUCUCAUGCGCUCUCUGUCACCUUUCUAGCUCGAUCUCCCUCUUCUGGAACUUAGCGCUCUGAGCAUGCGGUUUUGCAACGGCCAUUUCGUACCGCUUCGAUCUCAUCACCUUCUCUCCCCUCCGACCCCCCUUUUUGAUCCACGCUUUGGGGCUUGCAAAUUUUUGACAUGUCACAUGAGAGUGACACCAAAAUGUAAACAGCAAGUGUUUGCAUGUGCGGUGAUUUUUAAAAUUUAGUUGUAGUGGAAGCGAAAAAAAAUGCUUGGAGCAUGGAAUAAAGCCGAAUGAAAUUUCUAACCUUUACGCACGACGCCGCCGCUAGGUAAGGUAUGUUUAUGUGUAAUUACGAUCAUUGUUCCAUUUUAGGGUGUGGUUUGUGCAAUAUAACCGUUCCUGGCGGGGAUAGUCAAUAGUCGAUACCCUUUGGAGCUGUGAAGGGGUGCAGAAGAAGGGGCUCGUUACCACCUUUCCCAAACCCGGACUCUUUUUCCGCGGAUAAAGGAUAUGUUCCUGGCUAUAUACGCCAAAUCUAACGGUGAUCCGUAUCGUGAACGAAUCGGCAUAGGCGGUGCCAGUCCCCGGCGGUUUGUGCAAGUGGUACACAACGGUAUAGAGUACGAUAG
Molecule: long non-coding RNA, 635 nt
Organism: Anopheles merus
Lineage: Eukaryota; Metazoa; Arthropoda; Insecta; Diptera; Culicidae
Exons: 3
Source: RefSeq, a predicted model, not a curated record